GACGAACGCUGGCGGCGUGCUUAACACAUGCAAGUCGAACGGUGAAGCGCCUUCCUUUUUGGUGGGUGUGGAUGAGUGGCGAACGGGUGAGUAACACGUGAGUAACCUGCUCCCUUCUUCUGGAUAACCGCAUGAAAGUGUGGCUAAUACGGGAUAUUCUGGGUCUGUCGCAUGAUGGGUCUGGGAAAGAUAUUGUUUCGGUGGGGGAUGGGCUCGCGGCCUAUCAGCUUGUUGGUGGGGUGAUGGCCUACCAAGGCGGUGACGGGUAGCCGGCCUGAGGGGGUGGACGGUCACACUGGGACUGAGACACGGCCCAGACUCCUACGGGAGGCAGCAGUGGGGAAUAUUGCACAAUGGGCGCAAGCCUGAUGCAGCGACGCCGCGUGAGGGAUGGAGGCCUUCGGGUUGUGAACCUCUUUCGCCAGUGAAGCAGGCCUGCCUCGUUUGUGGGUGGGUUGACGGUAGCUGGAUAAGAAGCGCCGGCUAACUACGUG
This 494-nucleotide ribosomal RNA is filed under the name uncultured bacterium. RNAcentral describes it as "partial 16S ribosomal RNA". It matches the Rfam family "Bacterial small subunit ribosomal RNA", at positions 28 to 507 of the family's 1533-position model. The record is from RNAcentral.